Fusarium torreyae is the source of this 106-nucleotide non-coding RNA. The record is from the annotation of a GenBank genome assembly. NCBI's taxonomy places the organism in Eukaryota, Fungi, Ascomycota, Sordariomycetes, Hypocreales, Nectriaceae.
GCCGGGCUGGUGUAAUUGGCAACACGACGGAUUGAGACCGCGGGAUUAUUUGACUUCCUAUGUCCUUCGGGGACUCGUUAUCCAGGCUAGAAUCCCGGGCCUGGUA